CGAGCCGCUCUACAACGACUACCGCAAGAUUAGUCAAAAGCUCAGCGAUGGAAAAUUCACACUCACACACUUUGAUGAGUUCAUUGAUGAGCUCAUGACCAAGGAGUACAGCUGCGACACUGCCCUCCCCCGCGUUCAGAAAAGAUGGGUCCUUCAAGCUUCUAGAACUCUAGAACCAAGAAGAAGUGCACUUGAAGAUGAUUUUGAGGAAGAGGAGGAAGAUAAGGAGGAUGGGCAGCCUAUGGACGUAGAUGAGCCUAACACUCAUGAAAAGUCUCUGCAGAAAGGAAACUCAUUCAGCUGGAAUUAGUGUGUAGUUGUGAAUAGUCAGUACAUCAAGAUUUGGCUGGCCCAAGCUUCUCUCGGACCCAUGCUCCUUGAUAUUUGAGUUAUGUUCUUUGAACCUCUUGUCCGCACACCAUAAAACUAUUAGACGAACUCUGACUCUACUUUUCGAGACCGUCCACCUUUUUGAGACUGCUAAACCUUGAUCUCAACCGUUGGUCGUGUCGGUGAUGGGUCAUUCACCGGACUGGCCCUUCUCUGUUAAUAUGAACCUGUUAGCAUCUAUGAAACUACUAUGCUUGAUCUGCUUCAUAUGAAAGUACUAAGCUUCCUUCCUUUAUGAAUGAACAUUCCUCUACUGCAGGUCUAUUACUCUGUGUUCUUUUUUUAAUCACUAAAAUGCCACUCUUUCUCAUCUGCUCAAUAAGCCAACCAACCUGUCAUUUAAAGACGUUAACAUAUACUAUAACAAGUUUAGUGCACACAAUCACACCGAGAAGGUGCUCCCGGGGCUAAUUUAGCGACUAAUUUAUGUAUUCUUGUUGACCAGAAUUUUGUUGGACUUUCUAUUACUGAUGGUUACAUUGAUACUGGGUCGGAAACAAAUGAGGUAUGCAUUCUAGGUUUGCAUCAACUUUUUUUGCUGAAUUCUGAAGAUACAGUUCUACCGAGAAUCAAGCUUUAGCUCAAGGAUAUGUGUGUAUUGUGCACUCCCAGCUGGCUGGAUUCAGGCCCUGUUGGAUGAAUGAAGAGUUUGUUACCCUCCUGCUUAAGAAUACACAAAACAAUCAGAACUACCAUUCCCUGCUAAAAAUGAAAAUUCAAACUAUCUGGACAUUUAGUUGUUACGAUGAUGUGCAUGUGAUUUUGAUUUGCAGAUUCGAUAGUUGGGUUUUUCUUAUAUCUUGAUAUUGUGUAGUUGUCACCACGACGAAGAUGCAGGAGCAUGCUGGGAGCGGCAGGUCGUGCCUGUGGCACACUCUGGAUUUUGCGGACUAUGAGUUCAAGAAUAAUAUCUUCGCCAUCCGCUUUGGAUCCGUGGAGAGGCCUAUUGAUUUGGAAUUGUUGGCGCACGAUUUGCUUGAGAAAAAACAAGCUGUUGAGGUAAUUUGUACACCUAAGUUGAUUCUACAUAUUAAUUACAUCAAUGCAAAAAUAAAAUAUUAUACGAGCACGAAGGUUCUGAUGAUUAGAAUGUAAUUUUUUUCACUAACUGGGAACAUAUCAGUGACCUGGUUGUAGGGGUCAGGUGGCUGCUUCAUCUCAGUUGAGUUCUACAAACUAUCAGUUUUUGAAUAUAAAUGUUCUGACUUGCUAGCAGAUACUGUAAUACGCCAAGUUGAUUCCCAUCAGUUAAAUAUAGUUCUGUAGAGAAGUAUGAUAAUAUUUUGGAGCAAUGUGGAAUUGUGGAUGCAUUAAUACAUCGUUUUUCUGAAUGUCGAGGAAGCGUUGAUUGCUGCGAGAUGUUUGGCCUCUGUGUUGCUUGUUGAUGGAGACCAAACAAGGGAUUCUACAUAUAUAUGAUUUGUAUCCUAUGUUCUUCAAAUUGUGAGUAUGUAAAUCUUUGGACCUGGCUAUGUAUUAA
This is a long non-coding RNA of Triticum dicoccoides, 1870 nucleotides long. RefSeq lists it as uncharacterized. The transcript is spliced from 5 exons. The record is from RefSeq and is a predicted model, not a curated record. NCBI's taxonomy places the organism in Eukaryota, Viridiplantae, Streptophyta, Magnoliopsida, Poales, Poaceae.